AAUGACUGAUUCUACUCUUAACGUUUCGUGGGAUUAAGAAAAUGCAAUCACUAGACUUAUGAUCAGCAGUAUUAAGCCUUACAUUGGGUUUUCAUCUCUAUACGUCAACAAAAAGCAAAUUUGGAAGUAUCUUAAACAUAUAUACUUUGGAAUUGGGAAUGUUACUCUAAUGAAUGAGAGGUGUAAACAAUAUUUUGGGUGUGAGAAAGUAGGAAUAUGCAUCAACCUCUCUCUCUCUUGACUUUAAGGUUAUGGAAAAAUAACGGGAAGACAUUGAUGUUGUUAAAUUUUUUUAUUGAUCUUCCACUAGAGUUUGAAGUUGUCUGGACACAGAUAUUAGGUGAAAAAGAACUCCCCAAUCUUCAAGAGAUAUUAUUUCGUAUUCAGCAUUCUACUCUCUCCGAUAGUACACCUAGUAGAGAUCGUUUUGCUUUUAUUGCUUGGGAUGGUUCAUUCAGGAGUAGAUGUAGCGGUCGAAGUGGACGUGGUGUUAACUCUCGGGGUGGACGAGACACUAGAAGCAGUGGUCGUUUGGGAAUUCAUAAACCUAAAAAAUGCACUCAAUGUGGUCAUACAUGUCACUCCGUUGAUCAUUGUCAGGACUUACAUGGCAAACUAUUUGGUUCUGCCAAUCAGGUCUCAUCUAAUGAAGACCAUCACCUUGUAUUUGGACCGAUGACUAACUCUAGCUCAAUACAAG
RNAcentral lists this long non-coding RNA (700 nucleotides) under Olea europaea subsp. europaea. The record is from RNAcentral. Lineage: Eukaryota; Viridiplantae; Streptophyta; Magnoliopsida; Lamiales; Oleaceae.